GAAAGGGAUUUCCAACAACCUUAUUUUCAGAAACUUCAAAAAAGAGAAAACACUAGCUCAAUUUUACGCACUUUCUCAAUGGCUCCAAAGAAACACCAGCUCCAAAUGCUUCCUGCAGCAGCUGCUAAUGCUUGGGGGAUCAGAACCACCUUUCAUUCCCUCAUUGCCCUCCUCCUCGCCGUUCUCGUCGUAAUCGCCCUUUAUCUAACCCAAAAGAGUGGAGAGCUCAUGCAAGAUAGGACUACUAGUAAAAGUUCAGGUGACUUGCUUGCCAGGUGCAAUUUGUUCUCCGGCAAGUGGGUUUUCGAUAACAAAACUUACCCUUUAUACAAAGAGCAAAAGUGCACUUUCAUGUCUGAUCAGUUGGCCUGUCAAAAGUUCGGCAGAAAGGAUUUCAACUACCAGAAUUGGAGGUGGCAGCCUUACCAAUGUGACCUUCCAAGGUUCAAUGCCACGGCAUUGCUUGAGAGGCUAAGGAACAAGAGGCUUAUGUUUGUGGGGGAUUCGCUGAACAGAGGUCAAUGGGUUUCAAUGGUGUGUCUAGUGGACUCCUCCAUUCCUCCUGCCAAAAAAUCCAUGUACCAGAAUGGUUCACUGGCGACGUUCAAGGCCAUUGAAUAUAAUGCAACAAUCGAGUUGUACUGGGCUCCAUUACUAGUGGAAUCAAACUCUGAUGAUCCAGUAAACCAUCGUGUACCUGAUCGGAUUGUCAGAGUUCAGGCAAUUGAAAAGCAUGCUAGGCAUUGGACUGAUGCAGAUAUACUCGUUUUUAAUAGCUUUCUUUGGUGGAGAAGGUCCCAAAUGAAAGUUCUGUGGGGAUCAUUUGAAGGACCAGAUGCAAUUUACAAAGCAGUAAAGAUGCCAAGAGUUUAUGAGAUGGCUUUGAAGACUUGGGCUGAUUGGCUAGAGGUGCACAUUAACCGAACCAAAACACAAUUGUUCUUCGUCAGCAUGUCGCCAACUCACCAAAAGUAUGUGAGAGACUAAGACCCUCUUCUUUAUUCUCUGCUCAGCUCCUAAAUGUAAUAACUUUAUCCUUGCAGGGCUGCAGAGUGGGGUGGAGCUAAAGGUGAAAACUGCUAUGGCGAAACAGAGCAAGUGUUCAAAGAGGGAUACAGGGGACAAGCUACCUGUCCAGAAAUGAUGAAGGUGGUGGAUAGAGUUCUGGAUGACUUGAAAACAAGAGGCUUGAAUGUGCAGAUGAUCAAUAUUACACAGCUCUCAGAAUACAGAAAAGAAGGGCAUCCAUCUAUUUACAGAAAGCAAUGGGAACCCUUAACAGAAGAUCAAAUAUCCAACCCAAAAACUUAUGCAGAUUGCAUACAUUGGUGCCUCCCUGGAGUGCCUGAUGUGUGGAAUGAGCUUCUUUAUGCUCACAUUAUUAAUCUUUGAUACAUUCCAACUUAAUUCCAAUUCAAAUUAACUUGGAAAUCUUUUUCUUUUUCCUUUUCAAUUCCUGAAAAUUUAUUCAAGAAACCCCAGCAACUUUGGGAGUUUCCCAAGCGAACGCAUGUUAUUUUAUUUACUUUUAAUUAACAGCUUUACAUGUGAACAAUAUCAUAUGAAAAUAUCAGUCCCUAAAAUAUUUAUUACCUGU
RNAcentral lists this unclassified non-coding RNA (1597 nucleotides) under Hevea brasiliensis (rubber tree). The record is from RNAcentral. Lineage: Eukaryota; Viridiplantae; Streptophyta; Magnoliopsida; Malpighiales; Euphorbiaceae.